GGAGUACUCUGCAGUAGAUUUUGUCGUGGAGUAGUGAUGACAGAUCAUAAUGAUGAAGUUCUCAAGAUUCUGAAGAAAAACAUAAAGCUGCAGGAAUCUUCAGAUGGUUCUAUGUGUUGUACAGAAUUAAAAGCUGAGAAGCUGGAAUGGGGAAGCUUUGAUCAGCUGAAUUGUAUAUUACAGGAGCACCCAGAAGGAUUUGAUUUAGUCCUUGGAGCUGACAUUUGUUUUCAGCAGGCAAAUGUUCCUUUGCUUUUUGAUACUGUUGAGCGGCUACUUAGAGAUCGUGACCAGAAGAAAUGCAAAUUUAUUUUGGCCUAUGUUUCACGAGCAAAAGUCAUGGAUGCUAUGGUCAUCAAUGAAGCAAUUCGGCAUGGUCUGCAGAUAAAUGAAGUUUCUGGGACUCGGCGUAUUAUCAAGAAUCUUGAAGGAGUUAUAUUUGAGAUUACGACUAAUCACUAGAGUUGGCAAUUGAGAAUGGAGUUUCUUCAGCUCCAUUUGAUUGGAAAACUAUACAGUUUAAG
RNAcentral lists this unclassified non-coding RNA (524 nucleotides) under Hevea brasiliensis (rubber tree). The record is from RNAcentral. Lineage: Eukaryota; Viridiplantae; Streptophyta; Magnoliopsida; Malpighiales; Euphorbiaceae.